This is a Y RNA of Callithrix jacchus (white-tufted-ear marmoset), 111 nucleotides long. It matches the Rfam family "Y RNA". From Rfam's summary of the family: Y RNAs are components of the Ro ribonucleoprotein particle (Ro RNP), in association with Ro60 and La proteins. The Y RNAs and Ro60 and La proteins are well conserved, but the function of the Ro RNP is not known. The record is from Ensembl. NCBI's taxonomy places the organism in Eukaryota, Metazoa, Chordata, Mammalia, Primates, Cebidae.
GACUCUUCUGAAGGCAGUGAGUUUUCUCCGUUAAUUGUUCAGUCAGUUACAGAUAAAACCCCUUGUUCUACUCUUUUCCCCAUUUUCACUACUGCACUUGAAUAGCAUUUU